RNAcentral lists this ribosomal RNA (494 nucleotides) under marine sediment bacterium ISA-7101. RNAcentral's name for it is "bacterial SSU rRNA". It matches the Rfam family "Bacterial small subunit ribosomal RNA", at positions 39 to 579 of the family's 1533-position model. The record is from RNAcentral.
GCGGCAUGCCUAACACAUGCAAGUCGAACGAACCCUUCGGGGUUAGUGGCGCACGGGUGCGUAACGCGUGGGAACCUGCCUUUAGGUUCGGAAUAACUCAGAGAAAUUUGAGCUAAUACCGGAUAAUGUCUUCGGACCAAAGAUUUAUCGCCUUUAGAUGGGCCCGCGUUAGAUUAGAUAGUUGGUGGGGUAAUGGCCUACCAAGUCGACGAUCUAUAGCUGGUCUGAGAGGAUGAUCAGCCACACUGGGACUGAGACACGGCCCAGACUCCUACGGGAGGCAGCAGUGGGGAAUAUUGGACAAUGGGCGAAAGCCUGAUCCAGCAAUGCCGCGUGAGUGAUGAAGGCCUUAGGGUUGUAAAGCUCUUUUACCAGGGAUGAUAAUGACAGUACCUGGAGAAUAAGCUCCGGCUAACUCCGUGCCAGCAGCCGCGGUAAUACGGAGGGAGCUAGCGUUGUUCGGAAUUACUGGGCGUAAAGCGCGCGUAGGCGGC